This 1567-nucleotide ribosomal RNA is filed under the name Klebsiella pneumoniae. Its description in RNAcentral is "partial 23S ribosomal RNA". It matches the Rfam family "Bacterial large subunit ribosomal RNA", at positions 1271 to 2822 of the family's 2925-position model. Lineage: Bacteria; Pseudomonadati; Pseudomonadota; Gammaproteobacteria; Enterobacterales; Enterobacteriaceae. The record is from RNAcentral.
UGCUGGAGGUAUCAGAAGUGCGAAUGCUGACAUAAGUAACGAUAAAGCGGGUGAAAAGCCCGCUCGCCGGAAGACCAAGGGUUCCUGUCCAACGUUAAUCGGGGCAGGGUGAGUCGACCCCUAAGGCGAGGCCGAAAGGCGUAGUCGAUGGGAAACAGGUUAAUAUUCCUGUACUUGGUGUUACUGCGAAGGGGGGACGGAGAAGGCUAUGUUAGCCGGGCGACGGUUGUCCCGGUUUAAGCAUGUAGGCUGGUUGUCCAGGCAAAUCCGGAUAAUCAAGGCUGAGGUGUGAUGACGAGGCACUACGGUGCUGAAGUAACAAAUGCCCUGCUUCCAGGAAAAGCCUCUAAGCAUCAGGUAACAUCAAAUCGUACCCCAAACCGACACAGGUGGUCAGGUAGAGAAUACCAAGGCGCUUGAGAGAACUCGGGUGAAGGAACUAGGCAAAAUGGUGCCGUAACUUCGGGAGAAGGCACGCUGGUGUGUAGGUGAAGCCCCUGCGGGUGGAGCUGAGACCAGUCGAAGAUACCAGCUGGCUGCAACUGUUUAUUAAAAACACAGCACUGUGCAAACACGAAAGUGGACGUAUACGGUGUGACGCCUGCCCGGUGCCGGAAGGUUAAUUGAUGGGGUUAUCCGUAAGGAGAAGCUCUUGAUCGAAGCCCCGGUAAACGGCGGCCGUAACUAUAACGGUCCUAAGGUAGCGAAAUUCCUUGUCGGGUAAGUUCCGACCUGCACGAAUGGCGUAAUGAUGGCCAGGCUGUCUCCACCCGAGACUCAGUGAAAUUGAACUCGCUGUGAAGAUGCAGUGUACCCGCGGCAAGACGGAAAGACCCCGUGAACCUUUACUAUAGCUUGACACUGAACAUUGAGCCUUGAUGUGUAGGAUAGGUGGGAGGCUUUGAAGCGUGGACGCCAGUCUGCGUGGAGCCAACCUUGAAAUACCACCCUUUAAUGUUUGAUGUUCUAACGUUGGCCCCUUACCGGGGUUGCGGACAGUGUCUGGUGGGUAGUUUGACUGGGGCGGUCUCCUCCCAAAGCGUAACGGAGGAGCACGAAGGUUAGCUAAUCCUGGUCGGACAUCAGGAGGUUAGUGCAAUGGCAUAAGCUAGCUUGACUGCGAGCGUGACGGCGCGAGCAGGUGCGAAAGCAGGUCAUAGUGAUCCGGUGGUUCUGAAUGGAAGGGCCAUCGCUCAACGGAUAAAAGGUACUCCGGGGAUAACAGGCUGAUACCGCCCAAGAGUUCAUAUCGACGGCGGUGUUUGGCACCUCGAUGUCGGCUCAUCACAUCCUGGGGCUGAAGUAGGUCCCAAGGGUAUGGCUGUUCGCCAUUUAAAGUGGUACGCGAGCUGGGUUUAGAACGUCGUGAGACAGUUCGGUCCCUAUCUGCCGUGGGCGCUGGAGAAUUGAGGGGGGCUGCUCCUAGUACGAGAGGACCGGAGUGGACGCAUCACUGGUGUUCGGGUUGUCAUGCCAAUGGCACUGCCCGGUAGCUAAAUGCGGAAGAGAUAAGUGCUGAAAGCAUCUAAGCACGAAACUUGCCCCGAGAUGAGUUCUCCCUGAGACU